This 472-nucleotide ribosomal RNA is filed under the name uncultured bacterium. Its description in RNAcentral is "SSU rRNA". It matches the Rfam family "Bacterial small subunit ribosomal RNA", at positions 26 to 518 of the family's 1533-position model. The record is from RNAcentral.
AGGACGAACGCUGGCGGCGCGCCUAAAACAUGCAAGUCGAACGAGAAACCCGGGCUUGCCCGGGUGGACAGUGGCGAACGGGUGAGUAACACGUGAGGAACCUGCCCCGAAGACCGGGACAACACCGGGAAACCGGUGCUAAUACCGGAUACCUUCACCGAAUCGCAUGGUCUGGUGAAGAAAUGGAUUCCGCUUCGGGAUGGCCUCGCGGCCUAUCAGCUUGUUGGUGAGGUAAUGGCUCACCAAGGCGACGACGGGUAGCUGGUCUGAGAGGAUGUCCAGCCACACUGGGACUGAGACACGGCCCAGACUCCUACGGGAGGCAGCAGUUAGGAAUCUUGCGCAAUGGGCGAAAGCCUGACGCAGCGACGCCGCGUGCGGGAUGAAGGCCUUGGGUUGUAACCGCUUUCAGCAGGGACGAAUUGACGGUACCUGCAGAAGAACGCCCGGCCAACUACGCGCCAGCAGCCGC